GACGAACGCUGGCGGCGUGCUUAACACAUGCAAGUCACGGGGGCGUCGCAAGAGCAACCGGCGAACGGGUGCGUAACACGUGAGCAACCUGCCGAUCUGAGGGGGAGUAGCCGGCCCAACGGCCGGGUAAUACCGCAUACGUUCUCGAGGGGGAGGUCCUCUUGAGAAGAAACCUCCGGGGCGANAUCGAGGGGCUCGCGGCCUAUCAGCUAGUUGGUGAGGUAACGGCUCACCAAGGCAUCGACGGGUAGCUGGUCUGAGAGGAU
This 266-nucleotide ribosomal RNA is filed under the name uncultured bacterium. RNAcentral's name for it is "partial 16S ribosomal RNA". It matches the Rfam family "Bacterial small subunit ribosomal RNA", at positions 28 to 301 of the family's 1533-position model. The record is from RNAcentral.